GACGAACGCUGGCGGCGUGCUUAACACAUGCAAGUCGAACGGAAAGGCCCUGCUUUUGUGGGGUGCUCGAGUGGCGAACGGGUGAGUAACACGUGUGUAACCUGCUCUUGAUUUUGGGAUAACUUCAGGAAAGUGGGGCUAAUACCGGAUAGGAGCCCCUGUCGCAUGGUGGGGGGUGGAAAGUUUCGGCGGUUGGGGAUGGACUCGCGGCUUAUGAGCUUGUUGGUGGGGUAGUGGUUUACCAAGGCUUUGACGGGUAGCCGGCCUGAGAGGGUGACCGGCCACAUUGGGACUAGGAUACGGCCCAGAGUCCAACGGGGGGCAGCGGUGGGGAAUAUGGCACAAUGGGCGGAAGCCUGAUGCAGCACCGCCGCGUGCGGGAUGACGGCCUUCGGGUUGUAAACCGCUUUCGCCUGUGACGAAGCGUGAGUGACGGUAAUGGGUAAAGAAGCACCGGCUAACUACGUG
This 468-nucleotide ribosomal RNA is filed under the name uncultured bacterium. Its description in RNAcentral is "partial 16S ribosomal RNA". It matches the Rfam family "Bacterial small subunit ribosomal RNA", at positions 28 to 507 of the family's 1533-position model. The record is from RNAcentral.